RNAcentral lists this ribosomal RNA (458 nucleotides) under Streptococcus sanguinis. RNAcentral describes it as "bacterial SSU rRNA". It matches the Rfam family "Bacterial small subunit ribosomal RNA", at positions 28 to 470 of the family's 1533-position model. The record is from RNAcentral. Lineage: Bacteria; Bacillati; Bacillota; Bacilli; Lactobacillales; Streptococcaceae.
GACGAACGCUGGCGGCGUGCCUAAUACAUGCAAGUAGAACGCUGAAGAGAGGAGCUUGCUCUUCUUGGAUGAGUUGCGAACGGGUGAGUAACGCGUAGGUAACCUGCCUGGUAGCGGGGGAUAACUAUUGGAAACGAUAGCUAAUACCGCAUGAUAUUAAUUGUCGCAUGAUAAUUAAUUGAAAGAUGCAAUUGCAUCACUACCAGAUGGACCUGCGUUGUAUUAGCUAGUUGGUGAGGUAACGGCUCACCAAGGCGACGAUACAUAGCCGACCUGAGAGGGUGAUCGGCCACACUGGGACUGAGACACGGCCCAGACUCCUACGGGAGGCAGCAGUAGGGAAUCUUCGGCAAUGGGGGGAACCCUGACCGAGCAACGCCGCGUGAGUGAAGAAGGUUUUCGGAUCGUAAAGCUCUGUUGUAAGAGAAGAACGGGUGUGAGAGUGGAAAUUUCACACA